RNAcentral lists this ribosomal RNA (253 nucleotides) under uncultured bacterium. RNAcentral describes it as "partial 16S ribosomal RNA". It matches the Rfam family "Bacterial small subunit ribosomal RNA", at positions 524 to 776 of the family's 1533-position model. The record is from RNAcentral.
GACAGAGGUUGCAAACGUUGUUCGGAAUUACUGGGCGUAAAGGGCGCGUAGGCGGCCUCGCAAGUCCCGUGUGAAAUCCCUCGGCUCAACUGAGGAAUGGCACGGGAAACUGCGGGGCUUGAGUUCGGGAGAGGGAAGCGGAAUUCCGGGUGUAGCGGUGAAAUGCGUAGAUAUCCGGAGGAACACCGGUGGCGAAGGCGGCUUCCUGGACCGAUACUGACGCUGAGGCGCGAAAGCUAGGGGAGCAAACGGG